UUCUAGCGAGCCCACCUCCCACCCGUGUUUACUGUACCUUAGUUGCUUCGGCGGGCCCGCCAUUCAUGGCCGCCGGGGGCUCUCAGCCCCGGGCCCGCGCCCGCCGGAGACACCACGAACUCUGUCUGAUCUAGUGAAGUCUGAGUUGAUUGUAUCGCAAUCAGUUAAAACUUUCAACAAUGGAUCUCUUGGUUCCGGCAUCGAUGAAGAACGCAGCGAAAUGCGAUAACUAGUGUGAAUUGCAGAAUUCCGUGAAUCAUCGAGUCUUUGAACGCACAUUGCGCCCCCUGGUAUUCCGGGGGGCAUGCCUGUCCGAGCGUCAUUGCUGCCCAUCAAGCACGGCUUGUGUGUUGGGUCGUCGUCCCCUCUCCGGGGGGGACGGGCCCCAAAGGCAGCGGCGGCACCGCGUCCGAUCCUCGAGCGUAUGGGGCUUUGUCACCCGCUCUGUAGGCCCGGCCGGCGCUUGCCGAACGCAAAUCAAUCUUUUCCAGGUUGACCUCGGAUCAGGUAGGGAUACCCGCUGAACUUAAGCAUAUC
RNAcentral lists this ribosomal RNA (537 nucleotides) under Aspergillus flavus. Its description in RNAcentral is "eukaryotic LSU rRNA". The stretch from base 169 to 322 matches the Rfam family "5.8S ribosomal RNA". Lineage: Eukaryota; Fungi; Ascomycota; Eurotiomycetes; Eurotiales; Aspergillaceae. The record is from RNAcentral.